Molecule: long non-coding RNA, 598 nt
Organism: Canis lupus familiaris (dog)
Lineage: Eukaryota; Metazoa; Chordata; Mammalia; Carnivora; Canidae
Exons: 4
Source: RefSeq, a predicted model, not a curated record
GCUCCAGUGCCCACUCCUCCUACGUUCCUCUUCCCCUUAGAGGGGUCAGAGCUGCAAGUGGUCUGAAGGGGCUCCCUCAGACUCCUCCCUCUCACCUUACCCCCCAUGUUCAUCACAGGGGCCUCCCCAGUGACUCUGGCAUGUCUCUGCAGCUACCUCUGAGAGCCCAAACCAACAAGAGGAAGAGCUGGGAGAGCCCGGGGAAGUUUAAGCAGACAGGAGACAUAGUGCAAGGAUUAAGGCCUGAACCCUAUCUCUGGGGACCCUGAGGUGCCAUGGGAGCUGCUAGAGGCUGAGGGACGACCAGGAUUUUGCUCCCAGGAGAUUUUUCCAGCUAAAACACAGCUUCAAAGCCACUGCAACAGACUUUCCAGGAGAGAAAGAAAAGCCUAGACUGCAUGUCACCAUCCUCCUCCCAGAGCUGGAAGGCCCCUGAUGGGCAGAAGCCAGAGCCGUUGUACACUACUGUCUUUGAAUCCUCAUAAAUCUGAGCGGUAAAAAGGGCACUGACUUGUACUACUUGCUGCCCUCUGUCUCCAGAGACCAAGACCAACUACACAAACAGCUCUGAGGAGAAUCAACAUUUCAAAUAGGGAUU